RNAcentral lists this ribosomal RNA (253 nucleotides) under uncultured bacterium. Its description in RNAcentral is "partial 16S ribosomal RNA". It matches the Rfam family "Bacterial small subunit ribosomal RNA", at positions 524 to 776 of the family's 1533-position model. The record is from RNAcentral.
UACGUAGGGCGCAAGCGUUAUCCGGAAUUAUUGGGCGUAAAGAGCUCGUAGGCGGUUUGUCGCGUCUGCCGUGAAAGUCCGGGGCUCAACUCCGGAUCUGCGGUGGGUACGGGCAGACUAGAGUGAUGUAGGGGAGACUGGAAUUCCUGGUGUAGCGGUGAAAUGCGCAGAUAUCAGGAGGAACACCGAUGGCGAAGGCGGCAUCCUGGACCGACACUGACGCUGAGGAGCGAAAGCCAGGGGAGCAAACGGG